Molecule: ribosomal RNA, 253 nt
Filed under: uncultured bacterium
Lineage: Bacteria
Description: partial 16S ribosomal RNA
Rfam family: Bacterial small subunit ribosomal RNA
Source: RNAcentral
UACGGAGGGUGCAAGCGUUAAUCGGAAUUACUGGGCGUAAAGCGCGCGUAGGCGGAUGUCUAAGUCGGAUGUGAAAGCCCGGGGCUCAACCUCGGAACUGCAUACGAUACUGGGCAUCUUGAGUACGAUAGAGGGUGGUAGAAUUUCUUGUGUAGCGGUGAAAUGCGUAGAUAUAAGAAGGAAUACCGGUGGCGAAGGCGGCCACCUGGAUCGAUACUGACGCUGAGGUGCGAAAGCGUGGGGAGCAAACAGG